This 76-nucleotide transfer RNA is filed under the name bacterium. RNAcentral describes it as "tRNA-Lys". It matches the Rfam family "tRNA". Rfam says of the family: Transfer RNA (tRNA) molecules are approximately 80 nucleotides in length. The record is from RNAcentral.
GCGCCCGUAGCUCAGUCGGCAGAGCAGCUCCCUUUUAAGGAGAUGGUCGUAGGUUCGAUUCCUACCGGGCGCACCA